RNAcentral lists this long non-coding RNA (1765 nucleotides) under Bemisia tabaci. RNAcentral's name for it is "lncRNA ENSSSA3NGG009067". Lineage: Eukaryota; Metazoa; Arthropoda; Insecta; Hemiptera; Aleyrodidae. The record is from RNAcentral.
UUUUAUUUUUAAAUGGAAGACUAUUCAACAGCGAUUCUUGGAAACUGCCGUGAUUUUUCCUCUGUUUGCAAAGAAAAUUCGGCAAAAACCUUCAAGGAAUGAAGUCAAUUUGUUCUCCUAUAAGUAAGUAAAAUAGGAGCCGAGAUUUUCAAACACCCUAAAUAAGAUACGUGGUUGUGGACCUUCAUUGUCGUACUGCUUGUCUUCCUUAAGCGAAAAAUGCAGACUUUCAAGUCUCUUGAAUUUUUUCACCGUUUUUAUCCCAAAAUGCCAAUUUAUAACUUCAAAUUUUCUUGUUAUCCUUUGCUCUCACUGAUUUUUUCAAACUUUCUAAAGACAAUUUUCUAAAUCUAAUCAAAGUAAUUGAUAAUAAGUAGACUCUAAGGUUUUAAAACGAGUCUUAAGUUUCAUGAUAUUGUCUUGUUAAAGUACACAAUUAUUAUUUAUUUAUUUAAUUUUUUUUUUCAACUUCACCAAACGUUUUUCUCUCAGUUUACUAUAAUACUUACAUUCUGUACCAGUGGCGUGGCGUGCUUUGCGAUAAAUCGAUUGAUCUGACAUUUGAACCUAUGAAAAAAAUCGAUUAACAGGGAGUUCGCAGCAAAUGCCUUGAAAAUCGAUUCUUUACCAUAGCUCCAAAUGGGGAAAUAUCGAUCAUGGAUCAUUCAUGCCCCGCCACUGUCUUGUACCAAAUUUUUUUGUAACAAAAUAGUGUGAAAAUUUGAAGGUAAAGUGGAGUGCUAAUUCCUCUAAUCAUUUCCACAGAAAAAAGACGGAAGCGAAGUAAAUAGUAAACCUAAGAAUCGGCCAACAUCAUCAGGUGGGCUACUGCCACCCCCGCCAGGUGAGUAAAAAUCAACCCUCCCUCUCAGAAUUCCUCUCCCUCUCAUCAUGCAAACCCAAGCAGUGCAGCUGGCUGGGGUGACUUUGCCAGCGCCUCCAAUCCAAGUUCAACAUCCAAUCAGUCCUCAAGCACAGCAACUACUCCCAGCAAUCCUAAUUGGGUACAAUUUUAAUCUUCUUUGAUCUUGAAUCAUCGACUCUAUCUCAUUACUAGGUAAUAGUUAAGUUGAUCAGCUCAGGCACACAGAUUUGUCUUGUUUAAUGUAGAGUUUAAUGGAAAUAUCAGAGGUAUUAAUGAUAAAAAAAGCAAUUCAAUAAUCUAACGCUAAUAGCACAUUUAAAAAUAUCAACUCUUGGGCAUUUUCCCUCCUUUUUUAAACAAUGCUAAGUCCUCACCAAGUAUUUCUUUCUUAUUUUUAUUUUUUCUUUUGAAUAUUCAUUAUAGGGUAUUCGUAGAUGAGUCCUCUUGAAAUAACUUUCGAAACUUGUAGAGAGUAGCCGAAAGUUGGUUUUCUCCUUCUUUUUACACACUUCAAACUCUUUCUUUUUAAUCUUAGGCAAGUCUAACAUUUAUUUACAGUUGUGCUUCUCGCUAGACUAUCUAUAUCAAUGAAAUACAUAUCUGCCUCAAUCAGAAUUUGUACUGGUUUGCGUCUCUACAUUGACCUGUCUGUGUGCUUUUGCUGAGAAUAAGGAUGAAAUAUGUAUAAUUUGCAGUCUCUAUAUAGUAAUAUUUACAUAAUUGUGUUUAUUUGGAAGUGUAACAGUAUAAUCAGCAAUUAUUCAAAGCGCAAGUGUACUUGUGAAACAGUCAUCUAGGAAACCCUGCCCAGCUCUGUAUAGCAUUUAAUCUCUGUGCUGCUCAUACAUCAUUUCUCAUUUUUGGUGAAUUUCCAAGUUCAUAUCAAAUCUCAGCUGCAGU